GCCUUUGUUGUAAUGGUCAGCACGCUCGACAUGAAUUCGAGAGGUCCAUGGUUCGAGUCCUGGUAAAGGCA
This 71-nucleotide transfer RNA is filed under the name Stegodyphus mimosarum. It matches the Rfam family "tRNA". Rfam says of the family: Transfer RNA (tRNA) molecules are approximately 80 nucleotides in length. Their secondary structure includes four short double-helical elements and three loops (D, anti-codon, and T loops). Further hydrogen bonds mediate the characteristic L-shaped molecular structure. tRNAs have two regions of fundamental functional importance: the anti-codon, which is responsible for specific mRNA codon recognition, and the 3' end, to which the tRNAs corresponding amino acid is attached (by aminoacyl-tRNA synthetases). tRNAs cope with the degeneracy of the genetic code in two manners: having more than one tRNA (with a specific anti-codon) for a particular amino acid; and 'wobble' base-pairing, i.e. permitting non-standard base-pairing at the 3rd anti-codon position. The record is from Rfam by way of RNAcentral. Lineage: Eukaryota; Metazoa; Arthropoda; Arachnida; Araneae; Eresidae.